UAGAGUUUGAUCCUGGCUCAGAACGAACGCUGGCGGCAGGCUUAACACAUGCAAGUCGAGCGCCCCGCAAGGGGAGCGGCAGACGGGUGAGUAACGCGUGGGAAUCUACCCUUUUCUACGGAAUAACGCAGGGAAACUUGUGCUAAUACCGUAUGAGCCCUUCGGGGGAAAGAUUUAUCGGGAAAGGAUGAGCCCGCGUUGGAUUAGCUAGUUGGUGGGGUAAAGGCCUACCAAGGCGACGAUCCAUAGCUGGUCUGAGAGGAUGAUCAGCCACAUUGGGACUGAGACACGGCCCAAACUCCUACGGGAGGCAGCAGUGGGGAAUAUUGGACAAUGGGCGCAAGCCUGAUCCAGCCAUGCCGCGUGAGUGAUGAAGGCCCUAGGGUUGUAAAGCUCUUUCACCGGUGAAGAUAAUGACGGUAACCGGAGAAGAAGCCCCGGCUAACUUCGUGCCAGCAGCCGCGGUAAUACGAAGGGGGCUAGCGUUGUUCGGAAUUACUGGGCGUAAAGCGCACGUAGGCGGAUUGUUAAGUGAGGGGUGAAAUCCCAGGGCUCAACCCUGGAACUGCCUUUCAUACUGGCAAUCUAGAGUCCAGAAGAGGUGAGUGGAAUUCCGAGUGUAGAGGUGAAAUUCGUAGAUAUUCGGAGGAACACCAGUGGCGAAGGCGGCUCACUGGUCUGGA
Molecule: ribosomal RNA, 683 nt
Filed under: Ensifer sp.
Lineage: Bacteria; Pseudomonadati; Pseudomonadota; Alphaproteobacteria; Hyphomicrobiales; Rhizobiaceae
Description: bacterial SSU rRNA
Rfam family: Bacterial small subunit ribosomal RNA
Source: RNAcentral